This 57-nucleotide transfer RNA is filed under the name Salmo salar (Atlantic salmon). It matches the Rfam family "tRNA", at positions 8 to 63 of the family's 71-position model. From Rfam's summary of the family: Transfer RNA (tRNA) molecules are approximately 80 nucleotides in length. Their secondary structure includes four short double-helical elements and three loops (D, anti-codon, and T loops). Lineage: Eukaryota; Metazoa; Chordata; Actinopteri; Salmoniformes; Salmonidae. The record is from Rfam by way of RNAcentral.
UGGCUCAGUGGUAGAGCAUGGUGUGUGCAACGCCAGGGUUGUGGGUUCAAUUCCCAC